GACGAACGCUGGCGGCGUGCUUAACACAUGCAAGUCGAACGGAAAGGCCCUGCUUUUGUGGGGUGCUCGAGUGGCGAACGGGUGAGUAACACGUGAGUAACCUGCCCUUGACUUUGGGAUAACUUCAGGAAACUGGGGCUAAUACCGGAUAGGAGCUCCUGCUGCAUGGUGGGGGUUGGAAAGUUUCGGCGGUUGGGGAUGGACUCGCGGCUUAUCAGCUUGUUGGUGGGGUAGUGGCUUACCAAGGCUUUGACGGGUAGCCGGCCUGAGAGGGUGACCGGCCACAUGGGGACUGAGAUACGGCCCAGACUCCUACGGGAGGCAGCAGUGGGGAAUAUUGCACAAGGGGCGGAAGCCUGAUGCAGCAACGCCGCGUGCGGGAUGAAGGCCUUGGGGUUGUAAACCGCUUUCGCCUGUGACGAAGCGUGAGUGACGGUAAUGGGUAAAGAAGCACCGGCUAACUACGUG
RNAcentral lists this ribosomal RNA (468 nucleotides) under uncultured bacterium. Its description in RNAcentral is "partial 16S ribosomal RNA". It matches the Rfam family "Bacterial small subunit ribosomal RNA", at positions 28 to 507 of the family's 1533-position model. The record is from RNAcentral.